GCCCAGUCGUGUGUUUUUUAAGCCCGAUUUUCGCUUGUUAGGGGUAACAGCUGUAAGAUAUGGCGCAAGGCAUGCGUGUGAAGUUGUUCGGAUUGGACAGAAAACGGGGCCAGUGUAUAAAUUGGUAUAUGCACGUCAGAAAUCGUUUGACAGUUGGAACUCAACGAUUGUCUUGUGGACUCCCCUGCCGGGUCAAGUCAAGUUGCCCUCGCAUUUACACAGGUAAAAACAUAUGCCAGUAUACCUUAUCAACCCUUCACGAAUUGUACAAGGGCUUCUGUUUGCUAACUGACUCUCACGUGAUGAUAGCUGGGCUACAUGCAUAGAAUUAUAUUCUAGCUGAAUGGUUGGAUCGCGCCCACGAUCAUUGUGCUAAAGAUUUGAUAACACACAGUUGAAUACUGUACAUCUGUGUCACUGUUGGUAUCACAAUUAACAAACUAUUUUAUGUCUUAAAUGUUUGCUUGUCUUUGUGGAGUGUAAACCUUGGAUUUGAGUGUUUUAUAUCUUGGAAGUCGUAAGCAUUAAUUUUAGAUACAUUUAAAUGACAAGGUUUGGAUAUAAUAUAUUUAUGUGCAAUGUUGCCAACGCCAAUCAACUGUAACGUACAUUAUGUGCACUGAACAAAAUAGAUAAUAUCCAAUCAUUCGUGGAUUAUUAACAUAGUCUUUCAUUGGAUUAAAUGGACCGGAGAAACACUGAUGUUGCCGUAAUAGAAACAGAGCUUAAUUGGGAUUUGACGACCGAAUUUGAUUGUUGAAUAAUUUCACCCUAAGACCAAGUUGAUUUUUAUCAGUUCUACUUGCCAUGGAGGAAUUUGAUUACCGAUUUAAGGUGAUUUUAUUGGGUGACUGUGGUGUGGGUAAAACUUCAUUGAUACGAACUCUCAGCCAAAAAACUGACUCAAAUGUUGGAGGGUGUUGUUGUUAUUCCUCUACACCAAAUGCAAGUGCUGAGUUAGAAUUCAAGAAACAUGGGCGACGAGUUAAAGUCCAUGUUACUGAUACAGGUGGUCAAGAAAGAUACAGAAGUUUGACUACAUCUUACUUUCGUGGAGCAGACGGCUGUUUAAUAAUGUAUAAUGUAAACAACACCACUUCUUUUGAGAAUGUUCCAAACUGGUCUGAAACACUGGAGAAUAAUACGUGCAAGAACAUCCUCACAACCUUAUUGGCAGGAACUCGAAGACAAACAUCAGAUGAUGCACAAGUGCCAGAAGCAAGAGUACGUAAAAUGUCCGAUUAUCUCGAAGUGCCAUGUGUUCAAAUUGACUUGGAUAACGUUUCAAAUAUCAUUGAAGUGUUCGAACAACUUGUUGACAUUAUGAUUAACAAAUACCGAAUACGAGAAUCAAUUGCGGUGGAACUAAGGCGUCCAUCAGCAGCUGCGAUACAGGAUAAACACAAAUUUCAGUGUAUAUGUUGAAACAACGAAAAGAACAUGACUUCUGAGUGUUAGAACUGUACUUGUCUUUUUCAUCACCAACUUCAAUGCUAGACUAUGAAUGUUAAUGGGUUUUAGAUAAACCCAUAAUUGGUGCAGCGUACUUGAAAUAACAACAUCGAACAUCCCCAGAAAUGUUAGAAAUUUCAAUAGCGCAUUGAUGUUAAACUAUGAACGUUAAAAGGUUUUAGUUACUAGAUAAACGCAUAAUUGGUGCAGUGUACUUGAAAUAAUACAUCCAGCCUCGCCAGAAAUGGUAGAAAUCUAAAUUGCACACUUGAUGCUAGACUAUAAAUGUUAGAAAGUACCCCCUAGAAAGACACUUAGUCCCUCUAAUGAAUAUAUUCCCGGGCUUACUAUAGGAUCCAGUUACUGGAUUAAAACACAUGCAGAAUAGGUUCUGUUGGGUUUAAGGUCUUGUUCACUAAACCCCUUGAAUUUCUUAGCCUUCAAGAAAGUAGAAUGUCAAUGUGUAUGGCAUGACUACUUCACUGUCACAAUUGAAAUUUUUACUCUAGUCUUUCUUGUAAGUGGAUUAACAAUUUACAGUACAGGAUAAGCCAGAAGAAAAAUAUCCGCUAUCGCUGUAGAGAAAUGGCUUGGCAUUUUAUUUUUCAGGAAUUAAUUAUGUGAAAUCCGUUUAUAUGUGUUGACCUUUAAGUUAAAUUUAGAUAAAUUCUGGAAACAAGCUUUUACAUUAAACAUUUAAGCAAGGUUUGAAAUAAACGUUGGAAGUCGAAAGCGUAAGAAGUUGUAUGAGCGAAAUAAAACGACUUUAUUGUGAAAUUCUUUCAUUUAACAAGUUUUGCUUAUGUUCUUCUUUGGCUGUAUAAAGUUGAUAUUUUUAUUGCCAUGGUAAACUUCCCAUUCCCCCAAAUAGGUGCAGCGGGACUAUCUAUGUUGUUUAUUUUUUCGCCCCCGACGUUCGAAGAAAACAAGGGACUAUUAAAAUGGGUUCGUCCGUCUGCCUGUCUGUCUGUCACACUUUUUGGGACACAAUAACUCUCUUUCUAAUUGAGCUAGAAUGUUCAAACCAUGGUGUAGGUGUUUAUUAGGUCAAUGUCUUGAUGGUGUUUGAAGAUUAGCAUUUUCUUCGUAGGGUAAGCACAGAUGAGCAAUUUGAUUGGUUGAUGCUUUGGGACACGAUAACUUUAGUUGUAAUUAAGUGAGAGUGAUGAAAUUUGUGUUUAUAGUUUUAUUAAAACAAUACUUUGACUAAGUUCGAUAAUGAGCAUUUUCUGCUCAGGGUAAGCAGAGCGAUAAGCAAUUUGAUUGGUUGAGACCUUGGAACACAAUAACUCUCAUUCUAAUUGAGCUAUAAUGUUCACAUUUGGCGUAGGUGUUUAUUAGGUGAAUGCCUUGAUUGAGUUCGAUGAUAAACAUUGUCCUCUUACGGUCAGCAGAGAUAAGCAAUCUGAUUGGUUGAUGCUUUGGGGUACGAUAACUUUGGUUUUGAUUAAGUGGGAGUGAUGAAACUCUGAGUAUAGAUUCAUUAUAUCAUUACCUUGACUAAGUUUGUUGAUGUGAAUUUUCUGCUUAGGCUAAGGAUCAAUAAGCAAUUUGAUUGGUCAAGACUUUUGAACAUAACAACUCUGCUUUUAAUUGAGGUAGAAUGUUUAAACUUGAUGUAGAUGUUCAUUAGGUGAAUGUCUUGACUGAGUUCAAUGAUUAACAUUUCGAGCUAAAGCUAACCAGCGCUAAGCAAUUUCAUUGGUCGAUGCUUUGGGACAAAAUAACUUUGAUUCUAUCUGAUAGAGAGUGAUGAAACUUAGUGUAUAGGUGAUAAUUUGUUUGAUUGCAUGAUACUUUUGAAAAAAAUAAAUAUGCGAUUAGUGAAUAUGUGUCAUCUAUUUAUUUUGGGAUUUCGGCGGGGGACAUCAGCCUCACUGUUGGCUUGUUUCUUUUUUUGUCCCUACAUAAAGCACCUUGUUAGCCAAAAACAAAUAAUAUAUAAGCAGAUUAAUAGCUUUAAAAACAAAUUCUGUUUUCAUUUCUCAAAGUAAAAUCAGCAAUGUGCAAGAUAAUUUGGUUUCCUUUCUUAGAGGUGUCUAAAUUGUGUUAUUGCCUGCUAAUAACACAGCACUAAUUCCCUGGUCACUCCCAACACAAGAAGUUAUUUUCAUAGGCUUGAACUUCAUAUCUCAUAUUAAGUGUUAAUGCAUUUAAAUAGAAGAAAGAUUUGUGAUAUUUUACAUAUUUAUACACAUUAUGUACUAUAAACAAUCGACAUUCUUAUCAUUUAAUAAAUAUUUGUG
Long non-coding RNA from Patella vulgata (common limpet), 3698 nucleotides. RefSeq lists it as uncharacterized. The record is from RefSeq and is a predicted model, not a curated record. The transcript has 3 exons. NCBI's taxonomy places the organism in Eukaryota, Metazoa, Mollusca, Gastropoda, Patellidae.